RNAcentral lists this ribosomal RNA (253 nucleotides) under uncultured bacterium. RNAcentral's name for it is "partial 16S ribosomal RNA". It matches the Rfam family "Bacterial small subunit ribosomal RNA", at positions 524 to 776 of the family's 1533-position model. The record is from RNAcentral.
UACGAAGGGGGCUAGCGUUGCUCGGAAUCACUGGGCGUAAAGCGCACGUAGGCGGAUUGUUAAGUCAGGGGUGAAAUCCUGGAGCUCAACUCCAGAACUGCCUUUGAUACUGGCGAUCUCGAGUCCGGGAGAGGUGAGUGGAACUGCGAGUGUAGAGGUGAAAUUCGUAGAUAUUCGCAAGAACACCAGUGGCGAAGGCGGCUCACUGGCCCGGUACUGACGCUGAGGUGCGAAAGCGUGGGGGAGCAACAGG